This 269-nucleotide long non-coding RNA is filed under the name Dasypus novemcinctus (nine-banded armadillo). RNAcentral's name for it is "lncRNA (ENSDNOG00000051967.1)". Lineage: Eukaryota; Metazoa; Chordata; Mammalia; Cingulata; Dasypodidae. The record is from RNAcentral.
GAUACUUUGAUAAGUGUUCUGCCUGUUUUAACCUUGAAUGCUAUUAUGGGGGAUACGCGGGGGAGAGGGAAUGAUGCCAUAUCUGUUUCAUUGGUUUAGGCUUUUUCAUGCUGAGAGAAAUCAAUACUUUGAGGCGUUGGAUGACAGAGGAAUUAGUUCAGAAUUAAAGAUAUUUUUAUGGUCCUAUUGUGAUAAUAUACUGUCCAGUUUAUGUGGUUCUCAAAAUAGAAGAACUUAAAUGGUGAUAUAAAGUAUAAUAAAUUCUGCCU